RNAcentral lists this transfer RNA (61 nucleotides) under Lycoris longituba. RNAcentral describes it as "partial tRNA-Phe". Lineage: Eukaryota; Viridiplantae; Streptophyta; Magnoliopsida; Asparagales; Amaryllidaceae. The record is from RNAcentral.
GUCGGGAUAGCUCAGUUGGUAGAGCAGAGGACUGAAAUCCUCGUGCCCCCGUUUCCAAUAA